Molecule: ribosomal RNA, 301 nt
Filed under: uncultured bacterium
Lineage: Bacteria
Description: partial 16S ribosomal RNA
Rfam family: Bacterial small subunit ribosomal RNA
Source: RNAcentral
CAGCAGCCGCGGGAAUACGAAGGGUGCAAGCGUUAAUCGGAAUUACUGGGCGUAAAGCGCGCGUAGGUGGUUUGGUAAGAUGGAUGUGAAAUCCCCGGGCUCAACCUGGGAACUGCAUCCAUAACUGCCUGACUAGAGUACGGUAGAGGGUGGUGGAAUUUCCUGUGUAGCGGUGAAAUGCGUAGAUAUAGGAAGGAACACCAGUGGCGAAGGCGACCACCUGGACUGAUACUGACACUGAGGUGCGAAAGCGUGGGGAGCAAACAGGAUUAGAUACCCGCGUAGUCCCUGUCUCUUAUAC